CCUACGGGAGGCAGCAGUGAGGAAUAUUGGUCAAUGGGCGCGAGCCUGAACCAGCCACGUAGCGUGAAGGAUGACUGCCCUACGGGUUGUAAACUUCUUUUAUAAAGGAAUAAAGUGAGGCACGUGUGCCUUUUUGUACGUACUUUAUGAAUAAGGAUCGGCUAACUCCGUGCCAGCAGCCGCGGUAAUACGGAGGAUCCGACCGUUACCCGGAUUUAAUGGGUUUAAAGGGAGCGUAGAUGGGUUUUUAAGUCAGUUAUGAAAGUUUGCGGCUCAACCGUAAAAUUGCUAUUGAUACUGGCAGUCUUGAGUACAGUUGAGGUAGGCGGAAUUCGUGGUGUAGCGGUGAAAUGCUUAGAUAUCACGAAGAACUCCGAUUGCGAAGGCAGCUUACUAAACUGCCACUGACAUUGAUGCACGAAAGUGUGGGUAUCAAACAGGAUUAGAUACCCGUGUAGUC
This 460-nucleotide ribosomal RNA is filed under the name uncultured bacterium. RNAcentral's name for it is "partial 16S ribosomal RNA". It matches the Rfam family "Bacterial small subunit ribosomal RNA", at positions 338 to 795 of the family's 1533-position model. The record is from RNAcentral.